RNAcentral lists this ribosomal RNA (388 nucleotides) under uncultured bacterium. RNAcentral describes it as "bacterial SSU rRNA". It matches the Rfam family "Bacterial small subunit ribosomal RNA", at positions 29 to 408 of the family's 1533-position model. The record is from RNAcentral.
AACGAACGCUGGCGGCGCGCCUAAUACAUGCAAGUCGAACGAGAAGCUGUAGCAAUACAGUUGUACAGUGGCGAACGGGUGAGGAAUACAUGGGUGACCUACCCUCGAGUGGGGAAUAACCAGCCGAAAGGUUGGCUAAUACCGCGUACGCUUCCCAGUCUACGGGUUGGGAAGGAAAGCGAUGCCGUGGGUAUCGCGCUCAAGGUUGGGCUCAUGUCCUAUCAGCUUGNGGUGGGGUAACGGCUCACCAAGGCAACGACGGGUAGCUGGUCUGAGAGGACGAUCAGCCACACUGGCACUGCGACACGGGCCAGACUCCUACGGGNGGCAGCAGUAAGGAAUAUUGCGCAAUGGGCGAAAGCCUGACGCAGCGACGCCGCGUGGGGGA